GUAGUACGGAAUAACUCAGGGAAACUUGUGUUAAUACCGUAUACGCCCUACGGGGAAAGAUUUAUCGCUAUUGGAUGGGCCCGCGUUGGAUUAGUUUGUUGGUGAGGUAACCGGCUCACCAAGGCUACGAUCCAUAGCUGGUCUGAGAGGAUGAUCAGCCACACUGGGACUGAGACACGGCCCAGACUCCUACGGGAGGCAGCAGUGGGGAAUAUUGGACAAUGGGGGAAACCCUGAUCCAGCCAUGCCGCGUGAGUGAAGAAGGCCCUAGGGUUGUAAAGCUCUUUCGCUAGGGAAGAUAAUGACGGUACCUAGUAAAGAAGCCCCGGCUAACUUCGUGCCAGCAGCCGCGGUAAUACGAAGGGGGCUAGCGUUGUUCGGAAUUACUGGGCGUAAAGCGCACGUAGGCGGAUUGUUUAGUCAGAGGUGAAAUCCCGGGGCUCAACCCCGAACUGCCUUUGAUACUGGCAGUCUAGAGACUGGAAGAGGUGAGUGGAAUUCCGAGUGUAGAGGUGAAAUUCGUAGAUAUUCGGAGGAACACCAGAGGCGAAGCGGCUCACUGGUCCAGUACUGACGCUGAGGUGCGAGAGGUGGGGAGCAAACAGGAUUAGAUACCCUGGUAGUCCACGCCGUAAACGAUGGGUGCUAGCCGUUGGACAGUAUACUGUUCAGUGGCGCAGUAACGCAUUAAGCACCCCGCCUGGGAGUACGGUCGCAAGAUUAAAACUCAAAGGAAUUGACGGGGGCCCGCACAAGCGUGGAGCAUGUGGUUUAAUUCGAAGCAACGCGCAGAACCUUACCAGCCCUUGACAUCCCGAUCGGGAGGAUCAGAGA
This 834-nucleotide ribosomal RNA is filed under the name uncultured bacterium. RNAcentral describes it as "bacterial SSU rRNA". It matches the Rfam family "Bacterial small subunit ribosomal RNA", at positions 133 to 1006 of the family's 1533-position model. The record is from RNAcentral.